CCCGGUGAUCUAGCCAUGGGCAGGUUGAAGGUUGGGUAACACUAACUGGAGGACCGAACCGACUAAUGUUGAAAAAUUAGCGGAUGACCUGUGGCUGGGGGUGAAAGGCCAAUCAAACCGGGAGAUAGCUGGUUCUCCCCGAAAGCUAUUUAGGUAGCGCCUCGUGAACUCAUCUCCGGGGGUAGAGCACUGUUUCGGCUAGGGGGCCAUCCCGGCUUACCAACCCGAUGCAAACUGCGAAUACCGGAGAAUGUUAUCACGGGAGACACACGGCGGGUGCUAACGUCCGUCGUGAAGAGGGAAACAACCCAGACCGCCAGCUAAGGUCCCAAAGUCAUGGUUAAGUGGGAAACGAUGUGGGAAGGCCCAGACAGCCAGGAUGUUGGCUUAGAAGCAGCCAUCAUUUAAAGAAAGCGUAAUAGCUCACUGGUCGAGUCGGCCUGCGCGGAAGAUGUAACGGGGCUAAACCAUGCACCGAAGCUGCGGCAGCGACAUUUAGGUGUUGUUGGGUAGGGGAGCGUUCUGUAAGCCUGUGAAGGUGGCCUGUGAGGGUUGCUGGAGGUAUCAGAAGUGCGAAUGCUGACAUAAGUAACGAUAAAGCGGGUGAAAAGCCCGCUCGCCGGAAGACCAAGGGUUCCUGUCCAACGUUAAUCGGGGCAGGGUGAGUCGACCCCUAAGGCGAGGCCGA
This 688-nucleotide ribosomal RNA is filed under the name Salmonella enterica subsp. enterica. Its description in RNAcentral is "partial 23S ribosomal RNA". It matches the Rfam family "Bacterial large subunit ribosomal RNA", at positions 721 to 1405 of the family's 2925-position model. Lineage: Bacteria; Pseudomonadati; Pseudomonadota; Gammaproteobacteria; Enterobacterales; Enterobacteriaceae. The record is from RNAcentral.